AAGCGCUUAUGACCAGACUUGGGCUUGGUUGAUCAUCCUGGGUUCUCCCUGGUGCACUCUUCCAGUUCAGGCCAGCAUCAGUUCGCUGCGGGGGAUAAAAGUUUUGGGAAUGUGGCUCCCUCGGGAGUGUUAUAGCCCAUUUCAUAAUACCCUGCUCCGGACUGAGGUUCGCGCAUCUGCAAGGAUGCUGGCGUAAUGGUCAUCAGCGA
Molecule: ribosomal RNA, 209 nt
Filed under: Calonectria monticola
Lineage: Eukaryota; Fungi; Ascomycota; Sordariomycetes; Hypocreales; Nectriaceae
Description: partial large subunit ribosomal RNA
Source: RNAcentral